This is a long non-coding RNA of Camelus dromedarius (Arabian camel), 1143 nucleotides long. RefSeq lists it as uncharacterized. Lineage: Eukaryota; Metazoa; Chordata; Mammalia; Artiodactyla; Camelidae. The transcript has 4 exons. The record is from RefSeq and is a predicted model, not a curated record.
GCCGCUGCCGCUGCCCUCACUUCAGCGGCUGCCAGCUCCUCCCGCUCGUGGGGUCGCGGCGCGCAGCUGAUCCUAAGCUCCUUGGGUUCAGAGAGAAUAGAGAAUUUCUUGUCACACACUUCAAUCAUUUCCUACUGGAAUGAACAGAGAAACAGAUAUGCCCCAGUGUGACAGUAUUUGGAGGAGAGGCUUUUGCAAGAUUCCGGGCACAAAAUAAGUGCAUAUAAUAAUUAUUUAUGAUUGACUGGGGACUCCCCUGAAAACAUCUGAACUUUUUCCCAGGUCACAAAUCUGUAGACUUACAUGAACGUGUUGUGCUGUGCUACAACUGGUAAUCAGCAUACCUGGAACUUAACAGGAGUGGAUACACAACCACAGAGCACGACUCCACAGCUCCACAAGUCCAAGAAGGUAUGCCCCGUAAAACCCAAACUAAAGGGCUGUGUGAAUAGCGCGAUGAGAAUUUGCCAGCCAGCUAGAAGACUGAGGCGACAUCUCUCCACUCACGUCUGCCACUUGAUGUACUCUGCUCCUGUGCACACUGCUCUUGAGUGUGGGAAGCUUGGCACACACGUAUCAGGCCAGGCAAAAACCCGCAGAGCGAGGAAAUAAUUCAGAAACCACCGGACACACUGCCAGAUUAGCCGCCUCCAUUAUCACAGUCCCAGGCAUCCGCAAUGACUAGGCACAUUUCUGCAUGACUUCAUUCACUGGUUUGGGCCAAAGAAAGACAACAGAAGGAAGGUCCCAUGUAGACAGCUGUGCCGAAUAGAUGUGGCGCCACUGCUGUCCAGGACUGUCAGUCCUACUAAACCCGCCAACGGGUGGGGCCGCCCAACAUAAAUAUAGAUAAUAUUUGUGGUUGAACGCCCACACAGUUAUGCAGAAAGCCUUAUGGUUGGCUUACAGUUUGAUCUGGUAUUUUUAAAAAUACUAAGGCAUAAAUAGAAAGAUGACCUAGAUGCAUAAAUAGAUGUCCCUGCCCACCAUGUGCUAGAAAAAUAUCUCGGGGUCUCAAACACUGAAAUAAACAUGAUUUCUACCCUGUAGUAAAAACAAUUGAAUUUUCCCAAAUUCAAAAUUAGGCAAAGCCUGAGGAUUUACUAGAAAAAUUAAAAUUUUUUCUCUCUCUUUUCACUAUAG